This 407-nucleotide ribosomal RNA is filed under the name uncultured bacterium. RNAcentral's name for it is "partial 16S ribosomal RNA". It matches the Rfam family "Bacterial small subunit ribosomal RNA", at positions 30 to 526 of the family's 1533-position model. The record is from RNAcentral.
AUUGAACGCUGGCGGCAGGCCUAACACCUGCCAGUCGAGCGGAGCGGCGGACGGGUGAGUAAUGCCUCGGAAUCUGCCUGGUAGUGGGGGAUAACGUCCGGAAACGGGCGCUAAUACCGCAUACUAUCAGAUGAGCCUAGGUCGGAUUAGCUAGUUGGUGGGGUAACGGCCUAACAAGGCGACGAUCCGUAACUGGUCUGAGAGGAUGAUCAGUCACACUGGAACGGAGAAACGGUGCAGACUCCGACGGGAGGCAGCAGGGGGGAAUAGUGGACAAGGGGCGAAAGCCUGAUGCAGCCAUGCCGCGUGUGGGAAGAAGGUCUUCGGAUUGUAAAGCACUUUAAGUUGGGAGGCGUUACCAACAGAAUAAGCACCGGCUAACUUCGUGCCAGCCGCCGCGGUAAUUC